AUGGUGGCACCGUUGGAUUUCAUAAUCGAGGCCUGGUACUUCGCUCAAAAGCAUGGGGUUACUUUUGUUGAAGACGUAUGCCCAGGAUAUCUAGCUCAGAGUUUUGUACAGGUUAUCUCUAGUAAGUUAUUUGCUCAUAUACCUUAUGAUCUGCUGUACUCCACCAUUGAGUCCCCACACCUGACGGUGGACAGUGAAAAGCAAUUGUGUGAAGCAAUUUUAUCUUGGGUUUCUGCAAGUAGACAAUCCUGUGAGCAAUCAGUCUCCAACCCAGCAGAUAACCAACUCUCCCUUCUUAGCAAGGUUAGGGUAUGCCUUUUACCUUUAGGAUUUGCAGCAGGUACAAAGAGAAACUGCUUUGAAUUUGGGAACAAUGCUGUAUGUAUGAUUCUUAAUCUGCUUAAGGACAGUUUGCAAACUCUACUGUAUACAGUUACCGAUGACAACUUGGAUAGUUACCGUAUUCGAUUAACAGAAUACUCCAAGAAAAUAGUACUUUCGGGAUGUCCCCAGUUAACUACGCAAUUCCUAUACAUAUCAGCGCUCCCCACUGAUCUAGAUGCUGUAUUUAAGAGAACUAUAGUGAGUGAUGUUAACGAUGGCUGUUUGAACCAUUACAAUGGGCUGGUGAAGAAGGCUAAAACCUUGUCAUUUAGAAAUGUACGCAUUGUGGAUCUCUCCAAAUGUCCAAAUGUACAUUUUGGUGCAGCAAUUUUAUGGAUGAAGUGGGCAUUUCCAGAAUUGAGGACGUUCAUAGCUUCCUAUUGUUUACUCUUUCAGUUUGAAGAUUUGCAGUAUUUGUUACUGAGAUGUCCAUGGAUUAAUGAAAUUAAUUUGAGUAUCGAUACAAGCGUUAUACUAUCCAAGUACUCGAUUAUAUCUUCUAGAUCUGAAGUACGGCGUGACGUGAAUCGAAAUCUAUCUAGCUAUUACAUGCAAAGUGGAUCAUAUGGGACCUCAGUAAACCCAGUUUUCUCAAAUAUAUCAAAAUUGAUACUGGAAGGCCGAAAUGAUAUUACUGAUAUGAACUUGCUGGAGAUAUCCAUGCUGAGAAGUUCUCUAUGUUAUAUAAACAUUAAACAUUGCACCCUGUUGACAGACGAUGGUAUAUCUACACUACUGUUGAACUGUAGAAAAAUGCACUCGAUGGUUCUUUCUUAUACAUCGUUUGGAAAUCAUUCAAUUCAAACCCUAUGCUCGUCGGAUCCUUCAGACAGCUUUCCUUACCAUAAGGAUGAACAUGCUCAUGUUAUGGCAUCUAGGUUGCAAGAAUUGCAUCUGGAAGGCUGUGAAGGUAUUAGUUGUGCUGCUAUGUCCCAGCUAGUGAGUAAUAUGAAUAUUGUGAAGUCCUUAUGCUUAAGGGAGACACCACUUGCAGAUGGUGCUCUCUGCAACUUUGUUGGCUCUUCACUUGAGUAUCUUGAUAUUUCGGAGACUGUGGUUUCUAUGGUCUCAUUGGCACCAGUUAUACGAAGAAACUCCAAUUUGAGCUGCUUGAAAACAGCUGGAUGCCGUAACCUGCUGUUUGAACAGGGUGAGGUACAAUCCACGAGUGGUACCAAGUAUGGCAGGUUUCUUCAGGAGAUAACCAGUACGUGCUAUUUGGAGGAUGUAGAAAUGGGCUGGGCAUUUUGCCCUGUUCGAGUUGAUGACCUCAUUCCUUCUUUUAGUAAAGUAAGGAGGAUGACAGUUGGCCUUGGCACAACAUUACCGGAGAAUAUCCUGCAUGCUCUUCCUGAGAUCUGCCCGUUUCUCGAGUCUUUGGUUCUUAGGUUUCAGGUAAUCUCUGACAGAGUUGUAAGAAAUCUAUUGGAAUCGUCAACAAAUCUUCAGGUGCUCUGCCUGCAGUAUUGCCUCGGCAGUUUGACUUCGUUUAGCUUUCAAACAAUGGCACCAGCAUUAAGAAUAUUACGGCUCCAGUGGUUUACUCCAUGGAUCACAAAUGAUGAUCUGACAAUUCUUACACAGAAUUGCAAUUUAGUUGAACUUUGGCUGUCUGGUUGCAAACUCCUUGACUCCAGCUCUCAAGAGAUAAUCUCUUCUGGGUGGCCAAACUUGGCAUGUUUACAACUUGAGGAAUGUGGUCAGAUAACACUUGAUGGGGUUAAUUCUAUUUUAGAUUGUAAAGCGUUGGAAGAAGUCUUACUUAGGCACACCGGUAGAGGUAUUGGAAGAACCAUUAUAACAGAUGCUAUCAGAGAGCUACCACUCCUAAGGAAGCUGGCGUUGGAUCUCUGCGACGCGUCCGAGGGAGGCUACGACACCCCGAACGUUCCGGAGGGGAAGUUGAUGAGGAGCGUGAGGAUGAGCAGGUGCAAGAAGUCGGCGGCGGCGGGGAGGUCGUGUUUCGGAGAGGCGCCCCCCUCGAGCUCGAACCCAAAGCCGGUGCAGCACAGGGAGACCGUCGUGCUGGAGUGGAGCAGCCGGCAGCUGACGACCACCGUAGUGGAAGAGAGACUCUAG
Molecule: ribosomal RNA, 2463 nt
Filed under: Triticum aestivum (bread wheat)
Lineage: Eukaryota; Viridiplantae; Streptophyta; Magnoliopsida; Poales; Poaceae
Description: partial small subunit ribosomal RNA
Source: RNAcentral